This is a long non-coding RNA of Etheostoma spectabile (orangethroat darter), 174 nucleotides long. RefSeq lists it as uncharacterized. The transcript has 3 exons. The record is from RefSeq and is a predicted model, not a curated record. NCBI's taxonomy places the organism in Eukaryota, Metazoa, Chordata, Actinopteri, Perciformes, Percidae.
GCGUCACUGCCCUACCCCUCUGUGUUCCCGUGGACACUUGGCCAGUGCGAAUGCAAAUGACAAAACUGGGGGAGAGUAGUUAGUAGAACUGUUUAGAAGUGGACUGUUCCUAUAACUAAGUUCCUGUAACUACUUGGUCGGAAAGUGUCUAUACAUUCCCACUUUCUAUAUCUG